AACCCAUGGUGAUAGCAUCUUCUCAAGAGAUUCUUGUAUCUCUCCCAUGCAUCGUAGAGUGUCUCUAAAUCCAUCUGGACAAAAAAAGAGAUAUAAUUACGUAAUUU
Molecule: small nucleolar RNA, 107 nt
Filed under: Gossypium hirsutum (cotton)
Lineage: Eukaryota; Viridiplantae; Streptophyta; Magnoliopsida; Malvales; Malvaceae
Description: Plant small nucleolar RNA R71
Rfam family: Plant small nucleolar RNA R71
About the family: R71 is a member of the C/D box family of snoRNAs containing the C (UGAUGA) and D (CUGA) box motifs.
Source: Rfam by way of RNAcentral